Molecule: microRNA precursor, 76 nt
Organism: Bos indicus x Bos taurus (hybrid cattle)
Lineage: Eukaryota; Metazoa; Chordata; Mammalia; Artiodactyla; Bovidae
Source: Ensembl
UGCUUUGUGAAACUGAAAGAACAGGAUUGCUGGGAGAUUUUCAUUCUUCCUGUUCUUACUACAGUAGAUAAAAGCA